GGCUCAGAAUCAACGCGGGCGGCGCGCUUAACACAUGCAAGUCGCACGGGAAAGUGGAGCAAUCCAUGAGUAUAGUGGCGUACGGGUGAGUAACACGUGGAUCAUCUACCUCUUAGUGGGGAAUAACCCAGGGAAACCGGGGCUAAUACCGCAUAAGCUCUAGCGAGGAAAGCAGCAAUGCGCUGAGAGAGGAGUCCGCGGCCGAUUAGCUAGUUGGCAGGGUAAAAGCCUACCAAGGCAUAGAUCGGUAGCCGGCCUGAGAGGGCACACGGCCACACUGGCACUGAAACACGGGCCAGACUCCUACGGGAGGCAGCAGUGGGGAAUCUUGCACAAUGGGGGCAACCCUGAUGCAGCGACGCCGCGUGAGCGAUGAAGCCCUUCGGGGUGUAAAGCUCUUUCGGCAGGGAAGAUAAUGACGGUACCUGCAGAAGCAGCUGCGGCUAACUACGUGCCAGCAGCCGCGGUAAUACGUAGGCAGCGAGCGUUGUUCGGAGUUACUGGGCGUAAAGGGUGUGUAGGCGGUUGUUUAAGUUUGGUGUGAAAUCUCCCGGCUUAACUGGGAGGGUGCGCCGAAUACUGAAUAACUAGAGUACGGGAGAGGAAAGUGGAAUUCCUGGUGUAGCGGUGAAAUGCGUAGAUAUCAGGAGGAACACCGGCGGUGUAGACGGCUUUCUGGACCGUAACUGACGCUGAGACACGAAAGCGUGGGUAGCAAACAGGAUUAGAUACCCUGGUAGUCCACGCCCUAAACGAUGCAUAUUUGGUGUGGGCAGUUCAUUCUGUCCGUGCCGGAGCUAACGCGUUAAAUAUGCCGCCUGGGGAGUACAGUCGCAAGGCUGAAACUCAAAUG
This 853-nucleotide ribosomal RNA is filed under the name uncultured bacterium. RNAcentral describes it as "bacterial SSU rRNA". It matches the Rfam family "Bacterial small subunit ribosomal RNA", at positions 21 to 907 of the family's 1533-position model. The record is from RNAcentral.